This 32-nucleotide non-coding RNA is filed under the name uncultured Symbiodinium. Lineage: Eukaryota; Dinophyceae; Suessiales; Symbiodiniaceae. The record is from RNAcentral.
GCAGCAGCAGCAGGCAAGCAGAUGUUUGCUUU